UGGGGAAUUUGGACAAUGGGCGAAAGCCUGAUCCAGCAAUGCCGCGUGUGUGAAGAAGGCCUUCGGGUUGUAAAGCACUUUUGUCCGGAAAGAAAUCCUUGGCUCUAAUACAGUCGGGGGAUGACGGUACCGGAAGAAUAAGCACCGGCUAACUACGUGCCAGCAGCCGCGGUAAUACGUAGGGUGCAAGCGUUAAUCGGAAUUACUGGGCGUAAAGCGUGCGCAGGCGGUUUGCUAAGACCGAUGUGAAAUCCCCGGGCUCAACCUGGGAACUGCAUUGGUGACUGGCAGGCUAGAGUAUGGCAGAGGGGGGUAGAAUUCCACGUGUAGCAGUGAAAUGCGUAGAGAUGUGGAGGAAUACCGAUGGCGAAGGCAGCCCCCUGGGCCAAUACUGACGCUCAUGCACGAAAAGCGUGGGGAGCAAACAGGAUUAGAUACCCUGGUAGUCCACGCCCUAAAACGAUGUCAACUAGUUGUUGGGGAUUCAUUUCCUUAGUAACGUAGCUAACGCGUGAAGUUGACCGCCUGGGGAGUACGGUCGCAAGAUUAAAACUCAAAUGAAUUGACGGGGUCAUAGCUG
RNAcentral lists this ribosomal RNA (580 nucleotides) under uncultured bacterium. Its description in RNAcentral is "partial 16S ribosomal RNA". It matches the Rfam family "Bacterial small subunit ribosomal RNA", at positions 356 to 932 of the family's 1533-position model. The record is from RNAcentral.